GGCCAUUUCCUGUAAUAUAUUAUCUAUUAACGCUUCAAGGGUCCGUGGCUUCUCGACAUAAAAUCUAGACUUUAAAUAGCCAUACAGGAGAAAGUUUGGUCGCCGACAGGAUUUUGUAUUCCGAGUCGAACCCUGCAGGUGAGAGUGGGGAAGUUCGGGCGCUUUUGGGCUUUGCUGCAGCUCACCGGACACGAUAGUUGAUAUUGAUAUUUGCGGUUAUUAGACACAAUCGCAUGCAUUUUUUUUCAUUAUUGCAAAUC
Molecule: non-coding RNA, 260 nt
Organism: Cinara cedri
Lineage: Eukaryota; Metazoa; Arthropoda; Insecta; Hemiptera; Aphididae
Source: the annotation of a GenBank genome assembly